GGUGUACCGCGGGUCAAAAUCUA
Molecule: non-coding RNA, 23 nt
Filed under: Arabidopsis thaliana (thale cress)
Lineage: Eukaryota; Viridiplantae; Streptophyta; Magnoliopsida; Brassicales; Brassicaceae
Source: RNAcentral